RNAcentral lists this ribosomal RNA (449 nucleotides) under uncultured bacterium. RNAcentral describes it as "partial 16S ribosomal RNA". It matches the Rfam family "Bacterial small subunit ribosomal RNA", at positions 29 to 523 of the family's 1533-position model. The record is from RNAcentral.
AACGAACGCUGGCGGCAUGCCUAACACAUGCAAGUCGAACGAGAUCUUCGGGUCUAGUGGCGCACGGGUGCGUAACGCGUGGGAAUCUGCCCUUUGGUUCGGAAUAACAGUUGGAAACGACUGCUAAUACCGGAUGAUGACGAAAGUCCAAAGAUUUAUCGCCAGAGGAUGAGCCCGCGUAGGAUUAGCUAGUUGGUGUGGUAAAGGCGCACCAAGGCGACGAUCCUUAGCUGGUCUGAGAGGAUGAUCAGCCACACUGGGACUGAGACACGGCCCAGACUCCUACGGGAGGCAGCAGUGGGGAAUAUUGGACAAUGGGCGAAAGCUUGAUCCAGCAAUGCCGCGUGAGUGAUGAAGGCCUUAGGGUUGUAAAAUUCUUUCACCGGGGACGAUAAUGACGGUACCCGGAGAAGAAGCCCCGGCUAACUUCGUGCCAGCCGCCGCAGUAA